GUCCACGCGGUAAACGAUGGGUACUAGGUGUUGGGGGUAUUGACCCCCCCAGUGCCGAAGUUAACACAUUAAGUACCCCGCCUGGGAAGUACGGCCGCAAGGCUAAAACUCAAAGGAAUUGACGGGGGCCCGCACAAGCGGUGGAGCAUGUGGUUCAAUUCGACGCAACGCGAAGAACCUUACCUGGGCUUGACAUCUCUGGAAAGUCCUAGAAAUAGGACCGUGCCCGAAAGGGAACCAGAUGAGAGGUGCUGCAUGGCUGUCGU
This 266-nucleotide ribosomal RNA is filed under the name uncultured bacterium. RNAcentral describes it as "partial 16S ribosomal RNA". It matches the Rfam family "Bacterial small subunit ribosomal RNA", at positions 793 to 1055 of the family's 1533-position model. The record is from RNAcentral.